Molecule: ribosomal RNA, 263 nt
Filed under: uncultured bacterium
Lineage: Bacteria
Description: partial 16S ribosomal RNA
Rfam family: Bacterial small subunit ribosomal RNA
Source: RNAcentral
CUUAGUGGCGGACGGGUGAGUAACGCGUGGGUAACCUGCCUCACACUGGGGGAUAACAGUUAGAAAUAGCUGCUAAUACCGCAUAAGCGCACGGUUCCGCAUGGAACAGUGUGAAAAACUCCGGUGGUGUGAGAUGGACCCGCGUCUGAUUAGCCAGUUGGCGGGUAACGGCCCACCAAGGCGACGAUCGGUAGCCGGACUGAGAGGUUGAACGGCCACAUUGGGACUGAGACACGGCCCAGACUCCUACGGGAGGCAGCAUG